GCCCUUCCUUCGGGAAGGUGCCCUAGCGGCGAACGGGUGAGUAACACGUGGGCAACCUGCCCUCAGCUCUGGGAUAAGCCCGGGAAACCGGGUCUAAUACCGGAUAUGACUCCGACAGGCAUCUUGCGGAGUGGAAAGAUUCAUCGGCUGAGGAUGGGCCCGCGGCCUAUCAGCUUGUUGGUGGGGUAACGGCCUACCAAGGCGACGACGGGUAGCCGGCCUGAGAGGGCGACCGGCCACACUGGGACUGAGACACGGCCCAGACUCCUACGGGAGGCAGCAGUGGGGAAUCUUGCACAAUGGGCGAAAGCCUGAUGCAGCGACGCCGCGUGAGGGAUGACGGCCUUCGGGUUGUAAACCUCUUUCAGCAGGGACGAAGCGAAAGUGACGGUACCUGCAGAAGAAGGACCGGCCAACUACGUGCCAGCAGCCGCGGUAAUACGUAGGGUCCAAGCGUUGUCCGGAAUUAUUGGGCGUAAAGAGCUCGUAGGCGGCCUGUCGCGUCGGCUGUGAAAACCUGGGGCUCAACCCCGGGCCUGCAGCCGAUACGGGCAGGCUAGAAUUCGGUAGGGGAGACUGGAACUCCUGGUGUAGCGGUG
This 599-nucleotide ribosomal RNA is filed under the name actinobacterium GNS13.8b. Its description in RNAcentral is "bacterial SSU rRNA". It matches the Rfam family "Bacterial small subunit ribosomal RNA", at positions 71 to 683 of the family's 1533-position model. Lineage: Bacteria; Bacillati; Actinomycetota; Actinomycetes. The record is from RNAcentral.